RNAcentral lists this long non-coding RNA (2075 nucleotides) under Homo sapiens (human). RNAcentral describes it as "HSALNT0273469". Lineage: Eukaryota; Metazoa; Chordata; Mammalia; Primates; Hominidae. The record is from RNAcentral.
AUUCUUUAUGGCCUUGCUGUGAUUUGCUCCUUCUACCGGAUCCCUAUGGGUCACUGAGUAGGUGCUGGGCCACUCAAGGGGCUGUGGGAAGACUGAUGAGAGGCAUUGCUCAGCCUCUCAGAGCAAAGUGGAGCUACAGGCAUGGCCAUAGGCAAGCAUGCUGUCCCCAGCCACUAAGGGACAGAGCAGCAAGCCUCAGACAGACCUGAGAAGAGGGGGCAUGAUGGGCUGAAUCGUGACCCCCAAAAGAUGUUGAAGCCCUAAUCUCCAGUACCUGUGAAUAAGAUCUUGUUUGGAAAUAGUCUUUGCAAAUGAUCAAUUUAAGAUAAGACCAUUAGGGUGGGAUCUAAUCCAAUAUUACCACUAUCCUUACAAAAAGAGGAAAUUUGGACACAGAGCCAGACACAUGGAGGGAAGAUGAUUUCAAGACAUAGGAAGAAGAUGACCACCUUCAAGCCAAGGAAUGCCCAAGGCUACCAGAAGCCAGAAAAGAGGCCAGGAACAGAUUCUUCUUCAUUGCUGUCAGAAGGAACCAACCCUGCUAGCACCUUGAUCUUGGACUUCCAGCCUCAGAAAAGAGGCCAGGAACAGAUUCUUCUUCAUUGCUGUCAGAAGGAACCAACCCUGCUAGCACCUUGAUCUUGGACUUCCAGCCUCAGAAAAGAGGCCAGGAACAGAUUCUUCUUCAUUGCUGUCAGAAGGAACCAACCCUGCUAGCACCUUGAUCUUGGACUUCCAGCCUCAGAACUGUGUGACAAUGAAUGUCCAUUAUCUGAGACACUCUCUCAGUGUCCUUUGUCACAGCAACCCCAGGGAACUCAUACAGGAGGCAAGUGGCUUCCCCCACCAUAGCUCUGUGGUCUCCUGGGUGGGACCUGCUGUGUUGCUCUCAGAGGCUGCUUAAAAACAGCUGGCCCUGGGCCACUCUGCUGGGGCUCCUGCUUGAAGGAAGGACAGAACUUCAGGGAAUUUCCUGGAAUGUUUGCUAAAAUGAAGACUCCCAGAGGCCUCCACAGAUCUACAGAAUAAGAAUCUCUCAUGAUGGGACUCAGAAAUCUCCAAUCAAUCAUCCACCCUCCUCCUCCCUACCCCAGGAUACUGAUGCAGACAGCCUGGCCACCCCUUUUGGAGAAACACGAUUGCAGAUGACUGAUUAAAUUGUAUGGCUUUACCUCUCUUAUAUAUGCAUUUUGGGAAGCAAUACAAUUUCUGCAGGUUAAAGCCAAAGGAAUGAUGAUCUAGCUGUGAAAUGUUAGACUUCGUUGAGUUGGGUGGUGGAGACACCUCCUCAACUAGCUCUUCAGCCUAGGCUGGGCUCGUUCCUCCAGUAAAUGAAAUCUAGAAGAAAUUUCCCAUCAUGUGCAGAAAUACGAACUACACACAGCAGAUUUUCAACUUCUACAAGAAGAUGGCAGAAGACAUGAACAAUGAAUUGGAAAGAAUCACUUCCUUUUACCAAAAGGAGAUUCUCUUCUAUGAGGAAGAGCUCAAGAAAGCUGGGCAGCAGUUCUGCUGACUGAGAUAAAGCUCCAUGAGCUAAAACAACAAAAUGAUGGCAACAGGCAAAUCAUGGCUGAUGUGGAGUUCAAGUUCCAGCCUUUCCCAAGCAGCCCCUUUGCUCCUGCUGCUCCAGGCGCAGCUCACAGAGGAGUGGAAGUACUAGGGGCCCCCUGGGUCAUCAGGUUCCCAGCAAGGAAGAGGCAGGUGCUGUGAGGCUCAGGGAUCCAGGGGUACCUGCAGGUUUCACUCAGAGUUUAUGAUUUGUUUGUUUUCGUCCUUAAAAGUAAUUUUCAUUUAUCUUCUAGUUAAGCUACUGUUAUUUAAUUGAUGUGCAAUUUCUCUUUCUGAAGUUUUAUAGUACUAUAAUUUCUAAAAUUGUAUUUUUAAAUAUACAUUUAUUUAAAAUAGCUCUUAUGAAUACAUUAUUUCAAAAUCAUUGGACCCUCUAAAAUUAUAUGCAUAAGUAUUAUAUUUUGAUUUAAAUAACAGGUCCACUAUGAUUUAAACUGUCAUCAAAAUUGGACAUGAAUAGAAACAUGGAAAACAAUAAAGUUCACUUCUGUAAGCUAUUAUUA